GAUGAACGCUGGCGGCGUGCCUAAUACAUGCAAGUCGAGCGAACAGACGAGGAGCUUGCUCCUCUGACGUUAGCGGCGGACGGGUGAGUAACACGUGGAUAACCUACCUAUAAGACUGGGAUAACUUCGGGAAACCGGAGCUAAUACCGGAUAAUAUAUUUAACCGCAUGGUUCAAUAGUGAAAGACGGUUUUGCUGUCACUUAUAGAUGGAUCCGCGCCGCAUUAGCUAGUUGGUAAGGUAACGGCUUACCAAGGCAACGAUGCGUAGCCGACCUGAGAGGGUGAUCGGCCACACUGGAACUGAGACACGGUCCAGACUCCUACGGGAGGCAGCAGUAGGGAAUCUUCCGCAAAGGGCGAAAGCCUGACGGAGCAACGCCGCGUGAGUGAUGAAGGUCUUCGGAUCGUAAAACUCUGUUAUUAGGGAAGAACAAAUGUGUAAGUAACUAUGCACGUCUUGACGAUACCUAAUCAGAAAGCCACGGCUAACUACGUG
Molecule: ribosomal RNA, 497 nt
Filed under: uncultured bacterium
Lineage: Bacteria
Description: partial 16S ribosomal RNA
Rfam family: Bacterial small subunit ribosomal RNA
Source: RNAcentral